RNAcentral lists this ribosomal RNA (254 nucleotides) under uncultured bacterium. RNAcentral describes it as "partial 16S ribosomal RNA". It matches the Rfam family "Bacterial small subunit ribosomal RNA", at positions 524 to 776 of the family's 1533-position model. The record is from RNAcentral.
UACGGGGGGAGCAAGCGUUGUUCGGAUUUACUGGGCGUAAAGGGCGCGUAGGCGGUCAGCACAAGUCAGUUGUGAAAUCUCCGGGCUUAACUCGGAAAGGUCAACUGAUACUGUGCGACUAGAGUGCAGAAGGGGCAACUGGAAUUCUCGGUGUAGCGGUGAAAUGCGUAGAUAUCGAGAGGAACACCAGAGGCGAAGGCGGAUUGCUGGGCUGACACUGACGCUGAGGCGCGAAAGCUAGGGUAGCAAACGGG